Molecule: unclassified non-coding RNA, 311 nt
Filed under: uncultured fungus
Lineage: Eukaryota; Fungi
Description: partial contains 5.8S ribosomal RNA and internal transcribed spacer 2
Rfam family: 5.8S ribosomal RNA (bases 1-133)
Source: RNAcentral
UGGCUCUGGCAUCGAUGAAGAACGCAGCGAAAUGCGAUAAGUAAUGUGAAUUGCAGAAUUCAGUGAAUCAUCGAAUCUUUGAACGCACAUUGCGCCCCCUGGUAUUCCGAGGGGCAUGCCUAUUCGAGCGUCAUUAUCACCCCUCAAGCAUAGCUUGGUGUUGGGGACUGCGAUCAGCAGCCCCUAAAAUCAGUGGCGGUGCUGGCAGGCUCUAAGCGUAGUAAAUAUUUCGCUAUAGCGUCCGGCUAGACACUCGCCAGAACCCCCUAUUUUUAUGGAUUGACCUCGGAUUAGGUAGGGAUACCCGCUGA